RNAcentral lists this long non-coding RNA (1082 nucleotides) under Mus musculus (house mouse). RNAcentral describes it as "Myb-related transcription factor, partner of profilin, opposite strand". The record is from RNAcentral. Lineage: Eukaryota; Metazoa; Chordata; Mammalia; Rodentia; Muridae.
CUUCCUCCUCGACUGCGCCUGCGCCAAGCAGGGAGAGGGGUUGCAGGCAGGAGCUUGGACAAGGGUAGAUUUCACGGAGACUUCCAGCGGCCCCGCCUCUUUCGUGUAGGGAAACCUUUCCUCCUUUUGUGUGGGGACACCUCAAACUCACUACUGAACGGAGUUCGUCAUCCACCCCUGCCUCAGAAGAUGGCAGCUCCAUCGUCCAGGUGCUGGGGCUGAAAUAAAACUCCAUCAUCCCUCAUUCUUUUCCUAUCCUGGAGUUGGACCAAAGAUUCAUUCGGGUUAUGUAAGCUCUACCACCUAAGGAGUCGUCGUGCUACCUGCUGUUUUCCCAGUCCAGGGAUGGGACUCCAGGCCUUAUACAUAGGUAGGUUCUCCACUGAGCCACGCCCCCAGCCCCUCAUUGGGGGAUUCUAGGCAGGGGCUCUACCACUGAGCCACGCCCCCAGCCCCUCAUUGGGGGAUUCUAGGCAGGGGCUCUACCACUGAGCCACGCCCCCAGCCCCUCACUGGGGGAUUCUAGGCAGGGGCUCUACCACUGAGCCACGCCCCCAGCCCCUCACUGGGGGAUUCUAGGCAGGGGCUCUACCACUGAGCCACGCCCCCAGCUCCUCACUGGGGGAUUCUAGGCAGGGGCUCUACCACUGAGCCACGCCCCCAGCCCCUCACUAGGGGAUUCUAGGCAGGGGCUCUACCACUAAGCUAUUGGCCUAGGCCUUUUUUCCUUUUUUUUUUUUUUUUUUUAAGUUUUUAAAAAUCUAUUUGUAUUUAGGGGGGUGUUCAGAUACACAUGCUGUGUUGUGCAUGUAGUGGUCACAGGACACCGUGUUUCUCUGUCCACCAUGUCAGUCCCAGCGUUUGACCUCAAAUUAUCAGGCUUGGUAGCAAGCACCUUUACCCACUAAGCCACAUCAUAGGUGUUUUUUUCCCCUCCAUUUUGGGGGAUCCUUUGUUGUUGUUUAAGACAGGGUUUUUCUGUAGCCCUGGCUGUCUUGGAACUCGCUGUGUAAACCAGAGUGCAGAGAUCCACCUGCCUCUGCCUCCCAAGUGAAGAUUAAAGGUGUUUAUGGCCACCCUUA